UUUUUUACCUCAGGCUGAAAAUAGCCGUUGCUCUGAUGUCACGUGACAGCCUUGUCAUGUGAUCCCAGAUGAAUCUGAUCCUUACGUCCUUCGUCUAGUCGCUCCUGACCACAACAAGUCAACCCUUGAGGACAAUGAGGACCGUGUUGACCCUCGUCGUGGUGCUGGUCUGCAGCUCACCCGUACGCCCUGGGUUCCUUGAGGAGGAUCAAGAUGUCCUCAUUCCAGAUGACUGGUCCCGUGUGGGGCCGGUGGGACCCUCUGAGCAGCUGGAGCUGACCUUCGCCCUGAGGCAGCAGGGGGUGGACCUGCUGGGGGAGACGCUCCGCAGGGUUUCUGACCCGGACUCCCCACAAUACGCCAAGUACCUGAGGCUGGAGGAGGUCUCCUCUCUGGUGCGGCCCUCUGACCUCACCCAGAAGGUGGUCCGCCGCUGGCUGCAGAGCCACGGGGUCUCCGGGUGUCUGUCUGUCCUCACACGCGACUUCCUGCAGUGCACCAUGCCGGCCCAAGUGGCAGAGGCUCUUCUUCCAGGCGCUAGGUUCCACCGCUACGUCAGAGACGGGCGUUCCCAGGUCCGGUCCUCAGCUCCGUACUCGGUCCACGACGAGGUUCACCAGCACCUGGACUUUGUGGGGGGUCUUCACCGCUUGCCCCCCCGGGGUCAGGAUGUAGUGUCUCAUGGGAGGAACAGACACCCGAAGGCUGGUCUCCACCUCGGAGUGACCCCCGCCAUCCUGAGGGCGCGCUACAACCUCACCGCCUCCGACGUUGGCUCCUCCCAGAACAACAGCCAGGCCGUGGCCCAGUUCCUGGAGCAGUACUACCACCCGGCAGACCUGGCUGAGUUCAUGAGCAUGUUCGGAGGGAGCUUCCCGCACCUGUCCCUGGUGGACCGGGUGGUGGGCACCCAGGGGGCGGGCCGGGCGGGCCUGGAGGCCAGCCUCGACGUGGAGUACAUCAUGAGCACUGGGGCCAACAUACCCACCUGGGUCUUCACCAACCCGGGUCGUCACGAGAGCCAGGAGCCCUUCCUCCAGUGGAUGGUGCUGAUCAGUAACACGUCGGCCCUGCCCUGGGUGCACACGGUCAGCUACGGAGACGACGAGGACAGCCUGUCCAACGCCUACAUGACGCGCAUCAACACCGAAUUCAUGAAGGCGGGCGUCCGCGGCAUCUCCCUGCUCUUCGCUUCUGGGGACAGCGGGGCGGGCUGCAGACAUCUGACUAAAGAGGAGAACUGCUUCCGGCCGAGUUUCCCUGCAUCCAGCCCCUACGUCACCACAGUGGGCGGGACGUCCUUUAAGAACCCCUUCAAGAUGACUUAUGAAGUCACAGAUUACAUCAGCGGCGGAGGCUUCAGCAACGUGUUCAAGACGCCCGACUACCAGGCCAGUGCGGUGAAGGCCUACAUGCAGACAGUGGGAGGAGGGCUCCCCCCGCUGACCUACUUCAACACCAGUGGCAGAGCCUACCCGGACCUCGCUGCCCUGUCUGAUAACUACUGGGUGGUCAGCAACAGGAUGCCCGUCCCCUGGGUCUCUGGCACCUCGGCGUCCACCCCUGUGGUCGGCGGCAUGCUGGCUCUGAUCAACGACCGGCGGCUUCUCAAAGGCCUUCCCCCCCUAGGCUUCCUCAACCCCCGCCUCUACAAGCUCCAGGGAGAGGCCAUGUUCGACGUGACGGAGGGCUGCCACCUGAGCUGUCUGGACGAGACGGUCCAGGGGCGGGGCUUCUGCGCGGCCCCCUCGUGGGACCCUGUGACGGGUUGGGGGACGCCGAACUACCCCGCGCUGCUCGCCGCCCUGCUGGACCAGUGAGGCACUGGAGGGCUCCUCCUACAUCCAGAAUCAUGCCAACAGGGUAGUCGACGUAGUAUAUUGCUAGUUCUGCUGUAGGCCCGUUCAGGGCCAGCCAGGGAUCAUCUAACUCAGUCAAAAAGUAAGUCUGGGUCCAUCUCAUCAUAGCGUCAAACACUGCCUCCCAGAUGCCUAUGGAACAAUGCAGGGUACGGAUUGGGAUGGAGAAGAAUACCAUGAAUUGCUGAUUCUGUUAUUCUUUGCAUUUCAGAGAAUCUGAAAGAUUGUUUUAAAUGUCAAUCUUAUGAAGGGGAAAGGUGGAUAUCGAAGAUGCAAUUAAUUAAACAUUUUAUGAAUUACAUAAAAUGGGUUUGCUAUUUUACGUACAUAAAGACGCAUCAUAUUUAUGGAGCACAUUAAUUGACUUUUCAGACUUACGCUGGCGACACAAAUCACUUUAUUUUUAACUGUAGUAUGAUACUAUACUACUCUAUACUUCGCUAUGAUCAAAAUUGUUGCAAAUAAUGAUUUGUUAAUAUUUUUUAUUAUGCAUAAAAUUGCGCAUGGUUAUUCUCAGGUAGUUUGUAAGUAAAUGUUUAGGGUGCCACUAUCGGAAGUAAUAACUAAUUUUUAAACCAUUUUGACAAAGGUUUUAUGUAUUGUAGAUUUGGUUCGUUGGUCACGUAUUUUCUGUUUUUUUGUUUUUGUUUGUGUGCGUUGGUGUGUAGAGAGACUGAUGGACUGUAUAUUGAAAUUGUUUUGCAUGGACAGCCAAAAGGCUGCAUAUCGGUCAUACCCUGGUAGCUGACCAGUAGCCUGAACGGAUCCCUAAGCUUUAUGCAAACGUUGCUCGACAGUAUUCUACACCAGCAGUGCUGCAUGUUAAUGUUUUAUAAUUGACCCCAACCCAGCAAACAUGAAUAAAAGGAUAUCAGCA
RNA transcript from Gadus macrocephalus (Pacific cod), 2736 nucleotides. It is a transcript of the gene named tripeptidyl peptidase I, with no coding region annotated. The transcript is spliced from 14 exons. Lineage: Eukaryota; Metazoa; Chordata; Actinopteri; Gadiformes; Gadidae. The record is from RefSeq and is a predicted model, not a curated record.